UUGGAGGGCAAGUCUGGUGCCAGCAGCCGCGGUAAUUCCAGCUCCAAUAGCGUAUAUUAAAGUUGUUGCAGUUAAAAAGCUCGUAGUUGAACUUCGGGGUUCACCCAUUGGUCAGGCUUAAUUGUCUGUACUGGUGAGAUGAGUCUCUACCUUCUGAGGAACUUUCAUGCCAUUUGUUUGGUGUGAUGGGAAAUCAGGACUGUUACUUUGAAAAAAUUAGAGUGUUUAAAGCAGGCUAACGUCUGAAUACAUUAGCAUGGAAUAAUGAAAUAGGACGGAUUGAUUCUAUUUCGUUGGUUUCUAGGGUCACCGUAAUGAUUAAUAGGGAUAGUUGGGAGCAUUAGUAUUCAAUUGUCAGAGGUGAAAUUCUUGGAUUUAUUGAAGACUAACUACUGCGAAAGCAUUUGCCAAGGAUGUUUUCAUUAAUCAAGAACGAAAGUUAGGGGAUCGAAGACGAUCAGAUGCCGUCGUAGUCUUAACCAUAAACUAUGCCGACUAGGGAUCGGACGAAGUUAAUUUUAUAAUGACGCGUUCGGCACCUUACGGGAAACCAAAG
RNAcentral lists this ribosomal RNA (556 nucleotides) under uncultured Glomus. Its description in RNAcentral is "SSU rRNA". It matches the Rfam family "Eukaryotic small subunit ribosomal RNA", at positions 548 to 1103 of the family's 1831-position model. The record is from RNAcentral. Lineage: Eukaryota; Fungi; Glomeromycota; Glomeromycetes; Glomerales; Glomeraceae.